Molecule: ribosomal RNA, 445 nt
Filed under: uncultured Sphingobacteriales bacterium
Lineage: Bacteria; Pseudomonadati; Bacteroidota; Sphingobacteriia; Sphingobacteriales
Description: bacterial SSU rRNA
Rfam family: Bacterial small subunit ribosomal RNA
Source: RNAcentral
CAUGUGGUUUAAUUCGAUCGAUACGCGAGGAACCGUUACCUGGGCUCGAACGUAAGAUGACUGUAGGUGAAAGCUUACAUCUCUUCGGAGCAUUUUACGAGGUGCUGCAUGGUUGUCGUCAGCUCGUGCCGUGAGGUGUCGGGUUAAGUCCCAUAACGAGCGCAACCCUAUCUUUAGUUGCCAUCAGGUAAUGCUGGGGACUCUAAAGGAACUGCCUACGCAAGUAGUGAGGAAGGCGGGGAUGACGUCAAAUCAGCACGGCCCUUACGUCCAGGGCUACACACGUGCUACAAUGGCCGAUACAGAGGGCAGCUACCUGGUGACAGGAUGCAAAUCUCCAAAGUCGGUCUCAGUUCGGAUCGGAGUCUGCAACCCGACUCCGUGAAGUUGGAUUCGCUAGUAAUCGCGCAUCAGCCAUGGCGCGGUGAAUACGUUCCCGGGCCUU